RNAcentral lists this ribosomal RNA (483 nucleotides) under uncultured bacterium. RNAcentral's name for it is "partial 16S ribosomal RNA". It matches the Rfam family "Bacterial small subunit ribosomal RNA", at positions 28 to 507 of the family's 1533-position model. The record is from RNAcentral.
GACGAACGCUGGCGGCGUGCUUAACACAUGCAAGUCGAACGGGCCCGCCCCUGUUUUUGGGGGUGGGUUGAGUGGCGACCGGGUGAGUAUCACGUGAGUAACCUGCCCCCUGCUCCUGGAUAACUGCUUGAAAGGGCGGCUAAUACGGGGUGUGCCGGCUGGUCCGCAUGGGCCUGGUCGGGAUAGCUUCGUCUGCGGGUGUGGCGGUGGGGGAUGGGCUCGGGGCCUAUCUGCUUGUUGGUGGGGUAGUGGCCUACCAAGGCGGUGAAGGGUAGCCGGCCUGGGAGGGUGACGGGCGACAGUGGGACGGAGAGACGGCCCAGACUCCUACGGGAGGCAGCAGUGGGGAAUAUUGCACAAUGGGCGGAAGCCUGAUGCAGCAACGCCGCGUGCGGGAUGACGGCCUUCGGGUUGUAAACCGCUUUCGCCUGGGACGAAGCGUGAGUGACGGUAAUGGGUAAAGAAGCACCGGCUAACUACGUG